Molecule: transfer RNA, 74 nt
Filed under: Pelodiscus sinensis (Chinese soft-shelled turtle)
Lineage: Eukaryota; Metazoa; Chordata; Testudines; Trionychidae
Rfam family: tRNA
About the family: Transfer RNA (tRNA) molecules are approximately 80 nucleotides in length. Their secondary structure includes four short double-helical elements and three loops (D, anti-codon, and T loops). Further hydrogen bonds mediate the characteristic L-shaped molecular structure. tRNAs have two regions of fundamental functional importance: the anti-codon, which is responsible for specific mRNA codon recognition, and the 3' end, to which the tRNAs corresponding amino acid is attached (by aminoacyl-tRNA synthetases). tRNAs cope with the degeneracy of the genetic code in two manners: having more than one tRNA (with a specific anti-codon) for a particular amino acid; and 'wobble' base-pairing, i.e. permitting non-standard base-pairing at the 3rd anti-codon position.
Source: Rfam by way of RNAcentral
GAUGCUGUAGCUUAGCUGGCUAAAGCACCUGCCUAGUAAAUAAGAGAUCCUGGGUUCAAAUCCCAGUGGGGCCU